Molecule: ribosomal RNA, 506 nt
Filed under: uncultured bacterium
Lineage: Bacteria
Description: partial 16S ribosomal RNA
Rfam family: Bacterial small subunit ribosomal RNA
Source: RNAcentral
GAUGAACGCUAGCUACAGGCUUAACACAUGCAAGUCGAGGGGUAACGAGAGGUAAGCUUGCUUUCCUUGUCGACGACCGGCGGAUGGGUGAGUAACGCGUAUCCAACCUGCCCUUCAGUAAGGGAUAGCCUUUCGAAAGCAAGAAUAGUACCUUAUGUGAUCGCUUGAUUCCAUCAGCCGAUGAUCAAAGAUUUAUCGCUGAAGGAUGGUGAUGCGUCCCAAUAGGCAGUAGGCGAUGUAACGGCCCACCUAACCUACGAUAGGUAGGGGUUCUGAGAGGAAGGUCCCCCACAUUGGAACUGAGACACGGUCCAAACUCCUACGGGAGGCAGCAGUGAGGAAUAUUGGUCAAUGGCCGUAAGGCUGAACCAGCCAAGUAGCGUGCAGGAUGACGGCCCUAUGGGUUGUAAACUGCUUUUAAACGGGGAUAAAGUGAGCCACGUGUGGUUUAUUGCAGGUACCGUUUGAAUAAGGACCGGCUAAUUCCGUGCCAGCAGCAGCCGCAG